This 419-nucleotide ribosomal RNA is filed under the name Triconia conifera. RNAcentral's name for it is "partial 12S ribosomal RNA". The record is from RNAcentral. Lineage: Eukaryota; Metazoa; Arthropoda; Copepoda; Poecilostomatoida; Oncaeidae.
UAUGAGAUAUAAUCUUUUUACUUUUCUUAAAAAAGACUUUUAGUAUUACUAUGGUUAUAUAUUUAAGUUAUAUUUAAAAUCUUUGUGGUUAAAUAAAAAAAUUUUUACUAUAAAAUACGGAGUUGUAUCCUACUAUAUAAUUAAAAUUUAGGGKAGUUUUAAAAACCGAAAAUAAAUGGCAGUAAAAUAUGCAAAUUAAGGAAUUUUGAAAAAUAAUUUGAUAAUCCUCAAUUUUAUUUACUUUAAAAAAUUUUUUGUGCGGCUGUUUAAUAACCAUUUAAGAAUAUUAGUGUAAAUCAGGCUUUGCGUUAUAAAUAUUUAAAGGAAUUUUUGAAAUGUAGUUAAAAUUUUAUAUUAAUUAUAAAAAUUAUAAUACUUAAUAGUAAUAAAUAAUUAAAUAAAUUAUGCCCUAUUUUAGG